This is a non-coding RNA of Pelobates cultripes (western spadefoot toad), 225 nucleotides long. The record is from the annotation of a GenBank genome assembly. NCBI's taxonomy places the organism in Eukaryota, Metazoa, Chordata, Amphibia, Anura, Pelobatidae.
CUGGUCAUCAUGCAUCCAUGUCCUAUUUGGGACAUUUUUGAAAUAAUGUAAUUAUGUAAUGUAAUUUACUCCCAACAAACCAUAUAUUUAUGAAAAGUAGACACCCUAGGGCAGUAAAAUUAGUGAAAACCUGAGUGGUACAAUGGUAUAGAACUGUCCUGUGAGACAUGGGGUAGGAAGAGGAGACGGGCUAUACAGGAUAUGGCAAUAAAGUGCAAAGUAGAG